Long non-coding RNA from Cygnus atratus (black swan), 1068 nucleotides. RefSeq lists it as uncharacterized. The transcript has 4 exons. Lineage: Eukaryota; Metazoa; Chordata; Aves; Anseriformes; Anatidae. The record is from RefSeq and is a predicted model, not a curated record.
UCUUGGACCAGCCUGUCUUCCUGACGGUUUUGUGUUGGCAUCACAAAAUUCAAGAGCUGGAUGGCAAGACAUCUGGACGAGAGACACGUUGCUGGGAAAACGACUAUGACUGAUUAUAGCCAUCAUAAUAACAGUUCCUGCUUGAUGGACCCACAUGUGCACAGACGUCGGGGCACCUUUAACAAUGCUUAAUAAAGCAAAUGAAUCCCUCUGCAGCCGACACCAAAGGUCUCCCCCUCCCGUGGAGAAGCCCAAGAGCUUAAGGAGCACCCCUGAAGCAGCUGACCCACGCAUCUCCAGGAGGAAAUGCUACGCUUGUCUUCCAGCCAGAAAUUUAUUUCUAAAAGAGUGCUGUAUUGGUGCUGCCAGCUGAGUGAAUUUAACCUUGUGAUUUCUGAGAGAAGCCUGAAGAUGCCUGAAGUUCAGAACUCACCCCCAACCCUCCCAGAGACAAUCAAACAGUUCAGAGGGGAAGCACACGUGGAGGGACUGUGUUUAUCCCUCCCUUCUGAGCCACCUUGGGGCUGUUGUUUCCAUUCAAAUAAGCCCUUCCUCCUCAUUAAAAAAUAAUUUAACACAUGGCUUGGUGUGCCACCGUCUGGUUUAGACCUUAAACAUGUGCAGUACCUUUGAACAUGCAUACAAGCCUAAUGAAAUCAUUUAAUCAAUGGGAUUGCAAACAGGCUUAAAAGUUUGUAUGCUUUGCCUGAUUAGGACUAAGGGAAUGGGCCCUUAAGGAAACCAGAUGGAGAUAUGAUUAGUUUUAUUAAGUGUUGAUCCAGCUGCUGUAUUUAUAUCCCCCUUAUUUAUAUGAACAAUAUUUGUCCAAGCAUCUGAAUACAAAAUAGGAACCUUCAUUUGCUGUAGGCACCAUCGCCACCUAAGUUUGAUUAAAAAGCAAGUAAAAAUGCAGUCGUAACAAUAAAGGAGCACUGGCUGGUGGGACCAGGCGAUAUCACCUGUUUGCUGGUGAAUUAAACAGUAUUUGUUAUCACAAGUGUCACUGCAGAAAUCUGUAUAAUCGGUGCAUAAAGCAGGAAAAAAAUGUCCUUUUUUUUUCUAUUGCAA